RNAcentral lists this ribosomal RNA (468 nucleotides) under uncultured bacterium. RNAcentral's name for it is "partial 16S ribosomal RNA". It matches the Rfam family "Bacterial small subunit ribosomal RNA", at positions 28 to 507 of the family's 1533-position model. The record is from RNAcentral.
GACGAACGCUGGCGGCGGGCUUAACACAUGCAAGUCGAACGGAAAGGCCCUGCGUUUUUGCGCUUCUCGAUGGGCGACCGGGUGAGUAACACGUGAGUAACCUGCCCUUCAUUUUGGGAUAACUUCAGGAAACUGGGCCUAAUACCGUAUAGGAGAUCCUGCUGCAGGGUGAGCGUUGGAUAUUCUCGGCGGGUGGGGAUGGAUGCGCGGCUUAUCGGCUAGCUAGUGGGGUAGUGGCUUGCCCAGCCUUUGACGGGUAGGCCACCUGUGAGGGUGACCGGCCACAUUGGGACUACGAUACGGACCAGACUGCUACGGGAGGCAGCAGUGGCGAAUCUUACACAAUGGGCGCACGCGUGAUACAGCAGCGCCGCGUUCGGGAUGACGGCCUUCGGGUUGUAAACCGCUUUCGCCUGUGACGACGCGUGAGUGACGGUAAUGGGUAAAGAAGCACCGGCUAACUACGUG